This 351-nucleotide ribosomal RNA is filed under the name uncultured bacterium. Its description in RNAcentral is "partial 16S ribosomal RNA". The stretch from base 61 to 351 matches the Rfam family "Bacterial small subunit ribosomal RNA", at positions 1 to 295 of the family's 1533-position model. The record is from RNAcentral.
GGAAUUGUUGGCGCUUAGGUGCUGACAGGAACCCUGAGGAAUAUGGUUUUAAGAAGGAUUGAACGAGAGAGUUUGAUCCUGGCUCAGAUUGAACGCUGGCGGCAUGCCUAACACAUGCAAGUCGAACGGUAACAGGUCUUCGGAUGCUGACGAGUGGCGGACGGGUGAGUAAUGCGUAGGAAUCUGUCUUUUAGUGGGGGACAACCCAGGGAAACUUGGGCUAAUACCGCAUAGAGCCCUGAGGGGGAAANCGGGGGAUCUUCGGACCUCGCGCUAAGAGGAGAGCCUACGUCUGAUUAGCUAGUUGGUAGGGUAAAGGCCUACCAAGGCGACGAUCAGUAGCUGGUCUGA